RNAcentral lists this transfer RNA (80 nucleotides) under archaeon BMS3Bbin16. Its description in RNAcentral is "tRNA-Val". It matches the Rfam family "tRNA". From Rfam's summary of the family: Transfer RNA (tRNA) molecules are approximately 80 nucleotides in length. Their secondary structure includes four short double-helical elements and three loops (D, anti-codon, and T loops). The record is from RNAcentral.
UGGGCGUGUGGUCUAGCCCGGUUAUGACGUCGCCUUGACAUGGCGGAGGUCCCCAGUUCGAAUCUGGGCACGCCCAUCCA